Molecule: long non-coding RNA, 396 nt
Filed under: Olea europaea (common olive)
Lineage: Eukaryota; Viridiplantae; Streptophyta; Magnoliopsida; Lamiales; Oleaceae
Description: long non-coding RNA (OEUR_LNC001491)
Source: RNAcentral
UUUAAAACAAGAGUAGUUAUUGACCAUUUAAGCAUCGAUUUGGACAAACCAUUCAGGUUUUCUUUCUGUUCAUACUAAGAAUUUGCUGUGUAUUUCAUUGUGUCUCAUCAAAAUCUUCAUUAUCACUUUUGAGCAGUGAUUGAUUCCUGCUUAUUAAGGGAGAAAUGAAGAAAUUUGAAUUUACCUUGAGAAAUUUGUAGCCAUGAAAACAUCUCAUAGAGCCUUUAUUUUCCUUCUUCAUGUUCUGCUUUUCUCCUUACAUCCACUGAAGAUAACGUCGUCUGCAAGAACAGAAGCAGCGGCUCUUGUGAAAUGGAAGAACAGCUUGUCUUCUCCUCCUCUGAAUUCAUGGUCCCUUGGAAAUCUUCGAAAUCUUUGCAGAUGGACAGGAAUUCU